GCAAAUCUGGAGAUUUUCUCAAGCCUCUUUAUGAAAAUGGAGAGACCUCACAAGAGAUGCUAAUGGACAGCUGACCCUGCUCCCUGCUCCAUCACAGGUGCGUAGUAUACAAACCUCUACUAACUUCUUGGGCUUCUGAAUAAAGGAAAGGACUACCUAAUGACAGUAAUAGCUUGACUGCUGAAGAAUUAUGUCAAUUAAUAAAAAUUGCUUCAUAGGAAAAA
Molecule: long non-coding RNA, 224 nt
Filed under: Pan troglodytes (chimpanzee)
Lineage: Eukaryota; Metazoa; Chordata; Mammalia; Primates; Hominidae
Description: lincRNA
Source: RNAcentral